UACGGGGGGAGCAAGGCGUUGUUCGGAUUUACUGGGCGUAAAGGGCGCGUAGGCGGUCGUGACAAGUCACUUGUGAAAUCUCCGGGCUUAACUCGGAACGGUCAAGUGAUACUGUCGGACUAGAGUACAGAAGGGGGCAACUGGAAUUCUCGGGUGUAGCGGUGAAAUGCGUAGAUAUCGAGAGGAACACCUGCGGCGAAGGCGGGUUGCUGGGCUGAUACUGACGCUGAGGCGCGAAAGCCAGGGGAGCGAACGGG
RNAcentral lists this ribosomal RNA (257 nucleotides) under uncultured bacterium. RNAcentral describes it as "partial 16S ribosomal RNA". It matches the Rfam family "Bacterial small subunit ribosomal RNA", at positions 524 to 776 of the family's 1533-position model. The record is from RNAcentral.